Molecule: non-coding RNA, 9110 nt
Organism: Zonotrichia albicollis (white-throated sparrow)
Lineage: Eukaryota; Metazoa; Chordata; Aves; Passeriformes; Passerellidae
Source: RefSeq, a predicted model, not a curated record
AGAGAACAGGGAAAACAGAAGCUUUCACUCGUGGAUGGCCAAAAAGAGGUGCAGCAAAAUCUCCUUUAAAGGUAUCUUCUGGUGAUUCUCUCCAGUUGAUGCUAAUGAUAAUGAUUUUCCUCCAUAUUUUUCCAUAGUGACCAUAUGCCUUUCAUCGUGACCUAUUCAAAUUCCCUUCUGGAUAUUCCUGCUUAAAACAACUUACUCUGAAUGAGCCCAAGUGUUUCACAGUGAGCUGGGGUAUAUAAGUCCAACUGGAGAUUCAAGUUUCUGUUUGCCACUAUGUUAUGCUAAUUUAUGCUUUUCCUUUAAUGUAAACUUCAAGUUAUAAAAGAAAGAGUGGGGAAGAGCAAGGGAAAGGAAGGAGUCAUUCUUACUCCAGUGACAGUUUCUUCCCAUGAGGAAUCAGAGAUAAGAAUAAUGUCAAGGUUUGCAGGUGCAACGCCAUACGAAUAACAGCACAAAAACAACAGCAGGAGAAAGCUUAAAAAUAAUGAAGCAGCUUUGGUGAAAGUUUACAGACCUGCAAGCAGAAGAAGACAGGCUACAGUACUGCAGAGAAAAGGACCUGAGCAAUACAAGGUGAAGCCAUUCUGCAACAGCUUGGUGUCUGCUCUUCUCUCUCCACUUCAGCUGUGUUCUCACAUGCUGCAGCACCUCUGCAAGAAACAGAACCUCAACUCCUGCCUUGAUGCCUUGCAGCGCUGUCACCACCGUUUGUGUCUCCAAAGUCACAUCUGUGCCCUCACUCAGUGUGCCUCUUCUGAAACCGCACAUGAGAAGAUGCUUGCAAAACAAAUGAGUGAGACAGCUAAAUGAGAUCCCACCCUAUGAAAUUGCUGGAAUAGUGUUCACUGGAAGAUUGGUGAACACUCCUUAUCUGUGCAAAUGCUCAUUUGAAGAAGUCUCAAAAACUGCAGGAUUGCUCGUCAGAGUCAAUUAAGGCAGGAUGACCCAGCCAGUCCUGUUCCAGAAGGAAAGAUGAGGAUGUGUUUGUGCUGGAGUUCAUUCUUCUUUCUUUGGCCCAUCUUCUCCAGCUGUUCUUGUAGUGAUGUGUAUGUGACUGCCAUCAUGGUUCAGAGUACCUCCAAUUCAGUCUAAAUCGGCUUCAGCCUUCAUGAGAGGUAGCCAGAAUUGUUUGUGCUGCAUUAUUUAAAAACCGGAAAUUGUAUCCUUGUGGUCAAAUCCAUCAUGCUAUUCUAAGAAAGGGUCCUAGAAAUGACAGGUUCACUCCCCCAUGUGAGUAGAACUUCUUAGGACAUACCUGAAGGAUCUCUUGAGUGCUGAAAUUUGGGUGAUUUCCAUCCAACUACUAGGAAGUAUGGUUUUGGUAUGUGCAGUGGUUACUUUGGAAGACAAAUGCGUUAAUAAUGAUUGAGUCCCCCCACCACCUCCCUCCUUUUUCCUAGCUUGUAUUGCUGAGCAGAAAUAUGGCAUGGAAUAUCCCUUUGGCCAGUUUGGAUCAGCUGUCCUGACUAUGUUCCCUCCCAGCCUCUUGCCUACUCCCAGGUUACAUGCUUGGGAGCCAGUGUGGUUGGAUUGUCAUCUUGGUGCUGUGGGAUCACUGCCCAGGAGUAGCCAAAAUGUUGGUGUGCUAUUUUCUUCAGGAUGAGACGAACCUUGGUCUGAGACUGCCUGAUGUGGACUGCAACAAAGAAGAUUGAUCCACUGAAUAGAUCAAACUUCUGGAUCACUAAUGGAUUUACCUUCCAAAUAUUCUUGAAGGUUAGGUAAAUACUAAAUAUCUUCAGUUCAGAAGGGAAAGAAGAAUGAGGAAAGAUUAGUAGUUUACUUUUCCAUGGCAUUAAGCACCCACUUUUAAAGACACAGUCAAUAGAAACAACACCUCUCAGCACUUCUGAAAAUUGAAUGAUAAUGGUCUUAAUUAAGUCACCCAGUAAGUCAGUAUCAGCGCUAAGAAUACAGCUGAGGUUCUGUGACUGUUUGAUUGCAAACAUAAAACUUUCUUUUUUUAGUCAGCCAUCAGAAAUGAGCAUCGCUUCCAACAAUUUUAAUGCUUAUGACUAUCAGAUUAAGUAUAAGUAUGCAGUGUAAGACUGUCUGCAGGAUUUUUUUGUAGGACAACCUGUGAUUUAAGUCAAUUGGCUGGUUUAUGGAGUACUAAAUGUCAGAGAGCAGUCAUCUUGUCCUACCCUAGGGAGCUAAGAGAUCUUGGAAAAGUCCAGGGAAAUCAGAUGAAGGCACACAUCCCAGAUGUAGGUAGUCAGUACUUUAUCUUCCAGUAAGCAUUCAUGUUUCAACCCCUUAGUGUUAUACUGAAUGGCAGGAUCAUCCAUUUCUUGAUGUUACAGCAAAUUACAUUUUUUUCCCCAUUGUCCUGUAAAUCAGAACAUCCAUUUCCAUACUUUAGGUAUUUUUAAUGCCGGGCCAAGUCAAUAGUCAGAAUUAAUUGGCUCUCUCAGACCCAAAACCAAGCUCCUAGUUAAUUUUAAUGGGAGCUUUUUCUGCGUCAGAAUUGCCACUUUAUUAUUCUUCAUUAUUUUACUGCAGUGAUGCUGAGCAACCACAGCUGUGUUCCCUUAACCCUGCACCUCUAGAAAGUCCAAAAAUAAAUAUUAGCUGCAGAGUAUCCCUAGUUUUAAGGUAAGACGCAGCUCAUCUAUGCUGAGCAACUAUACACACAGUAACUGAACAGCAGUACAAAAUGUCCCAUAGUCAAUGGACAGAAAAACACAGUCCCUGGGUGUAACUACAGUCUGAAGAAGCUUGCUGAGCUCCUUGCUUAUGCUUCCCAGUUGUGAAAAUAAAGUAAGGACAGAUGAAUUUGGGACUAAGUCCUCAAUGACUUGCAAGCUCGGUGUUGGAGUUGAAAAUGUGCUCAAUAACCCUAAAGUCAUUAUCAUCCCAGGGAAGUUGAUUGUCAUUGUCUUAAAUUGCAACCAAGAGCCAGUACUAAGCAUUGUGCAUUAUCCCCUGUGCACUGUACAUGAUUAUAUAAAUUUGUAUGUGUAAUGAUGCAUUUUUAUGACAUAUAUAUAUUUCUGAAUGUGACAAAGUGCUUCGUGCUGAGAUCUGAGUGCUGGUGUGCCAAAUGAAAAAGCACUUAAUGGCCUGAUUACAAUAUAGUUAAGAACUGGUACAAUUCUUCACAGAAUCUAUUCAUCAUCAGGAUGGGAGGGAGGCAGGGUGGGUUUAGCCCUUCCUAAUUUCUGUCAGUAGGAAUGGGGUUGGUUUCCACAUUAGGGAACCUAAAUGUAGGUAUCUGUAUGCAUGCUUUGUGCUUAGGAUUCCCUUAGAGUCAAAGAAGAAAGCUAAUUCAGAGGUGAAUUCAGUUGUCUAAAUGCUAAGAACUACUAUUAUUUGUGAUAAAGUAUGUGAGGUGAUGGCCCACAUAAGAAGACAUAGGAAUUACUGCACACCCAUGCCCUUCAGAAGCAGGAGAUGCCAGAUAGGUUGCAGUAUCCUGACCAGCAAUUUUUGUGAGUGUUAGAUGUUCAGUUCCUGUAGUGGGAGCCUAGACACCCAUCUCAAAACAUGGACUUCUACAUAGGUGUCUCUAAAUAUGUAUUUUCAACAGAAUCUUAGGCUAGGGCCUUAAUCUUCUAAAUUUCUACAUCUGGGCUAGAUAUCUACACUUGCCCUUGCAAACAUAAGUUAAUACACAGUCAAAGGAAAUAAAGGCACUUUUGGGUGUUGUUUGUCUAGAAUUUUUUUUCCACAUAAGAUUUUGAGAAAGGACUGUACUCUGAAAUACCAAUUUCUCACCAUUCUCUCUAAAGGGGAUCUAAUUUGACCACAAACAAAGACACCUCCAUUUAUAAGUUGCUACAUUUGAUCAAAACAACAGCACAGAUAGCAAAAAAUAUAUUGAAAUGGAAAUGCAUUUUCAAAACAUGAACAGCAAUUAACUUGGUGGCAGAAGGAUUAGAACAAUUUGUGAAGAAAUUCUUUCUGAGCCGGCGGACCUGAAGGCUGUAAAUCUGAAUGGAACUGUGAGACCUGCUAGAAGACACAAAGUUGUAUGAGUUCUCUAAUCACAUCAUCAUCUCAGAAGACAAAGACAAGGACAAAGGUCAUGCCCACUUAUCUGAUCACCAGCUAUGCAGUUUUGUUAAGAACACACUGAAAGUGGGAAGCACACAAAUCUAAGCUUAUGUGCUGAUGUAAAUAAGAUGCAGCUGUGAGCUGGAUUUUAUUUCCUUGUAUCUCUUUCUAAAAGAUUACAUGUAUUUUAUCACUGCAGUACAGAAGUUAUUCCUACUAGUCCCAGAGAGUAGAAAUUUUUUACUGUGUUCCCUAUUGAAAGUCAGGCUUAAGAUAGAGCUUUAAACAUGAAACAGCUUUAUGAUAGGCAGAAUCAUGCUAAGAUACUCAGAGAAUGCACCAUGGAUGUAUAUUUGUUUAGACUUUUGUUUUGGAGUUCUUUCUUUGUAUUCCCUUCUACAAGUUUUCUGUCAUCAGUGGACCAAAGCAAGCACCUAAUUAUUACACUGAUUUGAUUUUGUUCCUCAGAACAACUUCAGUUUUAUUAGAUGCUUUAAAAAGGGUAACAGUAAUAAAUACCCUAUAUGUUUUUUUUCUGUAAAUAAGUAAACCGAUAUGCUUUCAAAAAUAUUUUAAUGAAAACAGCAAACUCUACCCAGAUUAAUAAUGUGAAAUAGAACAAAAUAGAAAAAUAGAAUUGAAAGACAUUACUAUCUGAGUAUUUUUCUCACAGGACAGGACAUAGUUUCUGGAAAUUCCAGACUCCUGGUUUGGAUGUGCAAACUGGAAGGCACAAGCAGAGGGAGUUGCCCCCAGACAUUUUUUCAUGGUCAAUAACUGUGUGGCUCCAUCUUGCUUUUAUGAGUGUAUGAAUGUAUCAUCUGUCCAGUGAAAAUUCAGAUGAUCCUUAGUUUGUGAAAGAGGGGUAAGAAUUGUGCUGACAUCCCUUAAUAUUCUCCUUUGUUUUUUACUACCAAAACAUACACUAAAAAACCCCAAACAAAUACACACAACCCCCCACACCCCAAACAAGCAAGCAAACAAAACCAAACAAAACCCCUGUAGUCUGCUUUAAAAGAUUCAGACAUUUUUCAUCCUAGCACCAACUUUCAUGCAAUAUUCCAAUCUGCCAGGCUCACGAGCAGCAGCAGCCCUGCUGUAGCACAGCACAUACCAAAACAAAUGUAGAGAUCAAGGCAUCUUCACAGCCAUGACAAUUAGCACUCUUGCAACACAACCAGCAAAACACAUAGUUCAUACACUUUUACUCUAGAACUUGCUAAAUGUCAUGCAGUGCACAAAAUGUCCUCCUGAAAAUGGGAGGGUGACACUAACAACCACUGUACAUCAGAAAGAACACACACUGGGAACUGGUGAAGGAGAGAAACCUGCAGUGGAAAAGCAUUGCACUUCCUAAUGCAUCAGAAUUCUAAAGAAUGACUUCUUAAAGAAAGACUAGAAAAGGAAUUAAUAACAACAGGAUUAUUAGAAUUAUGGUUUCAGCAGCAACACCAGUUCUGGAGUUCAUUGAGGUCUUUUUUUUCCUGCCCACAUUCUAUUGCACAAUCACUAAUCAUGUUUUCUUCUUGCUGUCGCUGUUCUCUCUUCCCUUGCCAAUCCCCCAAAGCUACUAAGCAUCCUUCUUUGUGUAACUGAUUAACUUAAUGAGGCUGGACUAACAGCACUUAUAUGCUGUCUGUCUUGGAUUUUAUUCCUUUUUAUCAUAUUGGAUGAAGGCCAUCCACUUUCCCAGCUAACUCACCUGGGGCUGAAAAAAGAUGAAGCUUCUCCUAAAAAACUUGUUUCUACGAAAUAAUUUUUCAUCUCAUGACAAUGCACUCUACUUGCUGUUUAAAUAGAGUUACUUUCUCUUAAACCAGUAUUCAGUGUAGUCAGUGCUGAAGGCAGAAAUCUCACUGUAGUUCCAGCUGUGUCUGCAAAGUGACUUCAGGGAAUAUGACCUUCAGGAGACAGCUUGUUUCCUGAGAAUUAAUGAAAUUUUUCUAUAGCUGCAGAAUUGAAAUCAUGUCCUGCAAGAGCUGAUUGUCCCUGCAGAGUGAAAUGCAACUGGGUUAUUCUGAAGGCAAUAUCUGGAUGUUUCCUGUGCUGAACUGUGCAGAGGAGUGUUAGAAUCAUGGUUAGAGUUUUAAUGGGAUUAGAAAGGAGCAGUGUCUGCAAAAUUCCCUGACCACCCAGCCAGCACGGGUAGCUGAGGCUAGCAAGGGAUGUCAAGAAUUUGCUAUUUAAUUUCACUGGGGCUCUGUGCACCUGAAUUCAAGUCACUAUUCUGCCAUGCCUGUGAGAAGUUUAAGGUGAUAUUCAACAAAUCAUUUAGCACUGAGGAUCCCAAGUAUAAAAACUGAUUUUUUGACUUUCACUGACAUUCUGGUAAUCUAAUGAGGCAGUCUGUCAAAAGCAAGCAAUCCCUGGCCACAGUGUGAUGGCACUGAGUGGCUUAUGUCUACCUUUUUCAAGAUUUUGGCCUGUAGACAGAUUUGCCAUGGCUGGACUAUUUAGGGACGGUUUGACAUCUCUUUAGAGCCUUUAAGUCUUAGAAGUUUUCUAUUUGCUUGUUUGCUUGAAUUGCAAGUGCCUAAUUUGCUGCAGUAAAGUGUUUCCAUAACCCUACAGGCACAAGUAUUGCUUCAGCUGAGAUUGGAGAAUGUAGAGAUUUUGAAGGAAACAAAGCCUGCUGGCUCCCUUGGGAGAGAAGGCUGCAUGGGAAUUUAGGAGUCAAACAAAGGCCCCAAAGUACAGGAAUACUUGAACAGAUAUCUUGAAAAAAUUAGGAACAAUGAAAAUGACAGAGUUCAAACAUGUAAUUGUUUAAUCGUCCAUCUGUGGAAUGGCAUAACUGCACUUUUGGAUCUUUAGGUAUACAUAAGAGUCCUGUAGUGAUACCACUACUUAAGCACUAUGGCUUCUUUAUAGGAAUAAAAAAAAAGUCAGGAUAAUCAAAAUUCAGUAUUGAGUAGUACCUGUAAGGUCUCAAGAAUUGAGUCAUAUUUUCUCGCUAAUGUUGAGAUAGGUAAAACAGCAUUAAAAAUUCAGAGUAUUCUCACUGCCACCAAGCCAAAUGUGACUGCAUUAAAUUUCAGAUGUUUCUGAACUCUCUAGUGAUGCAGUCUUAGGUCUUUGAUCAUUGCUUUGAUUCAAAGGACAUUAGGUGCUGCUUUUCCACGCAAAUCCUCUGUAUCUAUAAGCUUCCAAAAUGGGAAAAAUCUGAGUAGGAGGAAGAAAUUUUCAGGAAAAAAAAAUUCCUAUGGCUCUUGUUGCUUGGCAACCACUGCUUUGCCUCUGUGUUAAGAAAAAUAGCUUCCUUUGGAGUUCAAGUCUCAAGCCUGGCUUGAACUAGAAACAAGAGGAAAAUAAGAGAAAAGCAUGCUGUAGGCUAGGUUUUUCAGUAAUUACACUGUUUGCCCAUGCCAUUCAGCCAAAGGAAGCAGGGAAAGAAGUUAACAAGGAGUAAGGAAACAUGACCCUUCCUGUUGGUCAUAGGAACUAUUAUUUACUGAGUCCUUAAAAUGAUGCAAAAACAUAGGAGAUACCUUGUGGUGAGAGACUAAAAGAUCUCAGCCUAUUUCAUACAUCAGAAAGAAGAUGGUAGAGUCACUUCACUGUAUAAGUAAAUUAAUGGAGGAAAUGUCUUGUAUAAAAUUGCUUUUUUGUCUAGGACACAAAGUUAAAUGAAAACCAGUUCUAUGCCAGAAGAAAGGAGGCAUAUUUAUGUUCAAAUGAAGUCUCACAUUUUUAACAAUGACAGCAAUUAAGCACAAAAACAAACUGUCUGGGGAAUCUUGUAUUUAUCACUUGAAGUCUUCAGGUUGAGAUGGAUGCUGUUUGGAAAACACACCUUAGCCAAAUAGAUUAAAUACAAGGGAAACAAGCUGUAAGGAAAUGUUAUGUGAUACACAGCAUAUCAAUUAUAAUACAUUUAUCUUGAGACUAAAAGAGAUGAUCAGAAAUUUUUCCUCAGUUAUGGUGUGAAGGAAGUGAUUUUCCUCUCUAGCACCUGGGGCAGCCUGACACGAUGGCUUCACCUCUGAAAAAUGAGGAGUGACACACUGAGAGCUUAGGGGCUAAUGUCAUACAGGAGAAUAUUACACUUAGGCAGGUAAUGAAGUGACUGUUGGUACCGCUCCAAGUUCCUAGGAUGAUUUAAAUUCCAUUAGAAAAUGAGAUAUAGAUCUGUAAAUUUUAUCCCCUUUCUGUUUUACUCCUACAAACACAUAGUUUUAUGUGGGAGCUACUUUAAUUUUCAUCCCUAUGAAGACAGCUGGAUGUCCAAAAAUAUGAGGUACAGACAGAAGAGAAAGAAACUUAGAUUAAGUUUUCUUCCUCAGAUUCCCCCAGCAAAUAGUGUCUCCUUGUUUAAGAGUGGAAUUGUCCUCAAUUUUCAUAGCUGGUGAGGGACAGAAAUUGUGCUAUUAAUUUGACAGCCCAAGCUGUUCUGCAAGAGCACCUAGAAGCAUGGAAUACAAAUACAAGAUGUGUCACUGUUGCAUACAGGUAUGGAUAUUAUAAAAGAAAGGCCUUAUAAAAUCAGGCCUUGCUCUGCUAAAUUACCAGCUGGCCUGUUACAUCUACUAACUUCCCAUAUGAAAAAAUAUAACAAUGAAAGGAGUUAGCACAGCAAGCUAUUCUGCUAAGGAAACCAUUUGCAUGUAAUAAACAAGAAAUCUGUCCCAUGAGAAUGCACAAAGGAAAAAUGUAAACACUUAAGUAAAAGAGAGAGUCUUAGCAUGUACAUACAAAACCACCUUGAAUUGAACACUUUGAUUCUAACCAAUGAAUUUUGCGGCAAGAAAGCUACCAGCCAAUUGGAGUUGAACAUGGUCUGUGAAAAGUGUAUAUAAAUGAGUUAUCUGAAUUAAAAAUUGGCUUUUCCUGCAUGAAGAAAUUGAGUCCUGGCUGCUUUAUUGUAACACGUCACUACACUAUCUAUGAAGAGAAUUAACUCCAGCUCAGCCAAAACCAGCGAACAUACAUAGGCUUCUCUUGCGAAGAGACAACAUGUAGCUUUAAUUUUGAGAGUGUCACAUGAGACUACUAACUCAUAUGAUGAGGUAUGCUUAAUGAAGUUAGAUGAAGAGUUCAUUUAAUAAAGUUCUAGCAAAAAAGAGGAAGAAUAAAGUUGAUUCCACUGAUGCAUGAUGACCUGGGAG